This 73-nucleotide transfer RNA is filed under the name Actinobacteria bacterium RBG_13_63_9. RNAcentral describes it as "tRNA-Gly". It matches the Rfam family "tRNA". From Rfam's summary of the family: Transfer RNA (tRNA) molecules are approximately 80 nucleotides in length. Their secondary structure includes four short double-helical elements and three loops (D, anti-codon, and T loops). Further hydrogen bonds mediate the characteristic L-shaped molecular structure. tRNAs have two regions of fundamental functional importance: the anti-codon, which is responsible for specific mRNA codon recognition, and the 3' end, to which the tRNAs corresponding amino acid is attached (by aminoacyl-tRNA synthetases). tRNAs cope with the degeneracy of the genetic code in two manners: having more than one tRNA (with a specific anti-codon) for a particular amino acid; and 'wobble' base-pairing, i.e. permitting non-standard base-pairing at the 3rd anti-codon position. Lineage: Bacteria; Bacillati; Actinomycetota. The record is from RNAcentral.
GCGGGUGUAGCUCAGUUGGUAGAGCUCCAGCCUUCCAAGCUGGUUGUCGCGGGUUCGAACCCCGUCGCCCGCU